Molecule: ribosomal RNA, 301 nt
Filed under: Klebsiella pneumoniae
Lineage: Bacteria; Pseudomonadati; Pseudomonadota; Gammaproteobacteria; Enterobacterales; Enterobacteriaceae
Description: bacterial SSU rRNA
Rfam family: Bacterial small subunit ribosomal RNA
Source: RNAcentral
UGGGAACUGCAUUCGAAACUGGCAGGCUAGAGUCUUGUAGAGGGGGGUAGAAUUCCAGGUGUAGCGGUGAAAUGCGUAGAGAUCUGGAGGAAUACCGGUGGCGAAGGCGGCCCCCUGGACAAAGACUGACGCUCAGGUGCGAAAGCGUGGGGAGCAAACAGGAUUAGAUACCCUGGUAGUCCACGCCGUAAACGAUGUCGAUUUGGAGGUUGUGCCCUUGAGGCGUGGCUUCCGGAGCUAACGCGUUAAAUCGACCGCCUGGGGAGUACGGCCGCAAGGUUAAAACUCAAAUGAAUUGACG